AUGCAAGUCGAGCGAACAGGAUAAGGAGCUUGCUCCUUUGACGUUAGCGGCGGACGGGUGAGUAACACGUGGGCAACCUACCUUAUAGUUUGGGAUAACUCCGGGAAACCGGGGCUAAUACCGAAUAAUCUAUUUUACUUCAUGGUGAAAUACUGAAAGACGGUUUCGGCUGUCGCUAUAAGAUGGGCCCGCGGCGCAUUAGCUAGUUGGUGAGGUAACGGCUCACCAAGGCGACGAUGCGUAGCCGACCUGAGAGGGUGAUCGGCCACACUGGGACUGAGACACGGCCCAGACUCCUACGGGAGGCAGCAGUAGGGAAUCUUCCACAAUGGGCGAAAGCCUGAUGGAGCAACGCCGCGUGAGUGAAGAAGGUUUUCGGAUCGUAAAACUCUGUUGUAAGGGAAGAACAAGUACAGUUUUAACUGGCGGUGCACUCACUGGAAUUGAAGGCCCGGGCCAGAAUUCCUCGGGGAGUCGCACAGUAGGGGAUUUUUUCCCAAUUGGGGGAAGUUGUGAUGGAGACCAACCCCGGCGGAGUGGUAGGAAAGGCUUUUCGGAGUGUGUUAACUCUUUGUGUUAUGGGAGAGAAAUCAAGUCACGUAGUGAUCAUGGGUUGUACCCUUACGGUACCUUAUUUGAAAAGGCACGGGUAAAUACGUGUCCAGCAGCCGCGGUAUAUGUAGGUGGGCAAACGUUGUCUCGGAAAUAUUUGGGGUAAAGCGCGCGCAAGGCGGUCUCUUUAAGUGUGAUGUGAGAAGCCCCCGGUCUACCGUGGAGGGUCAUAUGGAACUGGGGGACUUGAGUGCAGAAGAGGGAAGUGGAAUUUCAAGUGUAGCGGUGAAAAUGCGUAGAGAUAUGGAGGAACACCAGUGGCGAAGGCGACUUUCUGGUCUGUAACUGACGCUGAGGCGCGAAAGCGUGGGGAGCAAACAGGAUUAGAUACCCCGGUAGUGCACGCCGUAAACGAUGAGUGCUAAGUGUUAGGGGGUUUCCGCCCCUUAGUGCUGCAGAUAACGCAUUA
Molecule: ribosomal RNA, 1021 nt
Filed under: Lysinibacillus sphaericus
Lineage: Bacteria; Bacillati; Bacillota; Bacilli; Caryophanales; Bacillaceae
Description: bacterial SSU rRNA
Rfam family: Bacterial small subunit ribosomal RNA
Source: RNAcentral